CCAGACAGCCAGGAGGUUGGCUUAGAAGCAGCCAUCCUUUAAAGAAAGCGUAAUAGCUCACUGGUCGAGUCGGUCUGCGCGGAAGAUGUAACGGGGCUAAACUAUGCACCGAAGCUGCGGAUUCAAAAUUUAUUUUGAGUGGUAGGGGAGCGUUCUGUAAGCCGUUGAAGGUGAACCGGGAGGUUUGCUGGAGGUAUCAGAAGUGCGAAUGCUGACAUGAGUAACGAUAAUGCGGGUGAAAAACCCGCACGCCGGAAGAC
RNAcentral lists this ribosomal RNA (260 nucleotides) under Pseudoalteromonas shioyasakiensis. Its description in RNAcentral is "partial 23S ribosomal RNA". It matches the Rfam family "Bacterial large subunit ribosomal RNA", at positions 1085 to 1345 of the family's 2925-position model. The record is from RNAcentral. Lineage: Bacteria; Pseudomonadati; Pseudomonadota; Gammaproteobacteria; Alteromonadales; Pseudoalteromonadaceae.